GGAAGUGUGUGGGGCAGCCAGGUGGGAUAAGAAACACCCGUUAGCAAAGGCUGUUAUAACUGUGGCAAGGAGACAACAGUUCCCUGCCCUGGCGGACACAUCUCAGGGUCAGGAGACUGGUUCUGUCCCUUCCUCCAGCAGCUGCAUGACCCAGGCUGGUCACCUCAUCCAGACAGUAGGGCUGGGAGGACAUGAAGCGGACUGUUCUGCUUCGUGACUGAGCAGAGCAGAUUUGAGGGCAGAAGAUGGGAAUCUUGUGGGUGUGUUGAGUAGGGGGAGACUUCCUCCCGCAGUGCUCCCUAUGGGGACAGAGGAUGACAGUCUCAGGGUGGCUGCCUAAGGACUCUUUCCUGCAUCAUCCUCGCUGGGUCCUCUCCGCAAACUUCUACGGUCCAUCAGUGGCCACUGACUCAAAGUCUACCAAGGUGUGGGCCUGGGCGUGGGAUCAAGACCCGUCCACUUGUCCCCUCUCCCCCUCAAAACAAUUAUUUUCCAAGUCAAGUCAGCCCUUAAAAUCCACAAGGGCUGCUUCGCAGGAGAGAAGCCAUGAAGACUCCCUGACUGGACGGGACGGGGCUGCGCCCUGCUGCUGCCUCUCAUGGUCCCCUCCCAGGGGCCGGCAGCUCCAGGGUCCCCAGAUGGCAGGCCUGGGACACUCUGUGGUUCAGCAGACCUUUCGAGGGCCUUUUAUCAGGCAGAGACUGAGAAAGAGACAGAAAAACAAGCCGAAGAGGGAGGGCGGUCUCCCCAAGGAUGGAAUGUCCUCCAGGGAGGUUAGUGUUGGUCAAUCCUCUCUCCACUCAGCAGGCCAGGAUGGACCGGAGGCCUGAAGGUGGAUUUACCUGGGCUGGGGACGGGACUGGGGCAGGGCAAGAGGGAGCCCCAGGAGGCUGGCUCCACUGGGCUGUGCCCAAGAAAGGAUUGGAGCACGUGACCGAGUGCUGCGCAGGGAGGAAGCAGCGGGGCCUGAGAGUGCCCCAUGCCUCUGCCCAGAAACCAAGCCUGGGGCUGCACGGGGCCCCGCCAGGGAAGCCUGAGGCAGCUCACUUCUGUCCUGAGGAACCUCCUUGCUGGCCAGAUUCCAGGUUUCUAGGUCUGCUCUGUGGAAGGCCUUGCAGAGGCGAGGAGAGCCUGGUCUAUGGGGAGACAGGUUCCCAGGCUUUCUGAACAGAGGCUGCUUUCAGAACAUCUGACAGUCCCUCGGCCUGGACAAGUGGCAGCCCGGCAGCUCUCAGCCUCAAUUCCCAAGGUUCUCCAGCCCAGCUGCAAAGGAGAGUCACUCUCAAUGUCCAGGCCCCAUCCCUGAAAAACCAAAAUUUCUCAGCAAUGGUGAGGGGAAAUGGCAAGAGGGGCCAGGCCAAAGUGAAAGAGUGAAGAGACACAAUCAAAUGCGAAGUGUGCAUCCUGAGUUGAACAAACCAACUGCAGAGAGACGUCUGGGAAAUCUACACGUGGAUGAAUGUGGGCCAUCAGGGAAUUUGAAUUAGGUGAUGAUGAGAAGAUACCGUUCAUCUUGUUAGAUGUAUUGAUGGCGUGGCUUCAUAUGUGAAAUAAAGUGCCAGCUAGAAAUUCAUAUGGAAGAAUUUACAGGUAAAAGAACAUGAAGUCUUGGAUUUGCUUUAAAACUCUCCAGCAAAAACAAAGAAACAAAAACAAAAAUGGGAGGGGGGUGUGGUUGGGGGAAGAGGUGCAUGGAGAUUCCCUCAUCUCUUGAUUCUUGUGUAUGUUAACAUUUUUCCAUAAUAAAAAGUGUAAAAAUAAA
Long non-coding RNA from Homo sapiens (human), 1762 nucleotides. RefSeq lists it as uncharacterized. NCBI's taxonomy places the organism in Eukaryota, Metazoa, Chordata, Mammalia, Primates, Hominidae. The transcript has 2 exons. The record is from RefSeq and is a predicted model, not a curated record.